Transfer RNA from Loxodonta africana (African savanna elephant), 74 nucleotides. It matches the Rfam family "tRNA". From Rfam's summary of the family: Transfer RNA (tRNA) molecules are approximately 80 nucleotides in length. The record is from Rfam. NCBI's taxonomy places the organism in Eukaryota, Metazoa, Chordata, Mammalia, Proboscidea, Elephantidae.
CCCUGGGUGGUGCAAAUGGUUGACACAUUUGGCUGCUAACCAAAAGGUUGGAGGUUCAAGUCCACCCAGAGGCA